Long non-coding RNA from Brassica napus (rape), 691 nucleotides. RefSeq lists it as uncharacterized. The record is from RefSeq and is a predicted model, not a curated record. The transcript is spliced from 2 exons. Lineage: Eukaryota; Viridiplantae; Streptophyta; Magnoliopsida; Brassicales; Brassicaceae.
GGUCAAUAACAUUUACCUGUUCGGGCACUAGCCCAAGAGAAAACCCUAAUCUCUGUUUCUUUUCCGGCGGCCGCCGCCUUGUGCGGUCGCCGGAUCUGCCUUUCGUCCUCUUGUGUGUCUAUGUGUUUCUCUCAAUCUCUUCUCUUUCCCCUUCGUUUUUCUGCCGUAGUGUCGUAGUGAAUGAGCUUUUGCUUGAAGUUCAGAUCCGGUGUUGCUCUCUUCAGAUCUGGAAGUUUCUGGCGUUUGGAGUUGCUUGAGGAUGACCUCUCUUUCUGUCGUGUUCGUCCUCUAUUAUUGUUGCAGACUCUGCGAUUGGUUAUCUCUGUUCCAGCUGGUGCUUCGUGGGCCUCACGAUGGGUUGGGGUUCUAGGUUUCACCAUUCAUGUUGGUUACAUUUUCAGCGGCCAAUGUUAGGUUAUCAUAAGCCAUAAUUAGUGAGAAUUGGUCUUUUAGAGAAGGAUCUCAAAAAUUUGUGUUCUUUUCAAGCCACUGCUGUGGAUAAAAAAGGAGCCAGUUUAAAAGAUCCGAGUUUGUGCUUUAACAAUUUGGACCCUAAUUUUGGAUCUUCGAUAUCAAAGACAAAUGGCACAUAAUAGUGUCAUCUCUGUGAUCUCAUUUUUUCAUGCUUCAGAUGCUAUCUUGUACAUGUUGCAUUGUUCAUGCUUAAAACAUGACAUGAAUUUUUAGUUCA